CAAACUGGAGAUGGCGACCGGCGCACGGGUGAGUAACACGUAUCCAACCUGCCGAUAACUCGGGGAUAGCCUUUCGAAAGAAAGAUUAAUACCCGAUGGCAUAAUAGAACCGCAUGGUUUGAUUAUUAAAGAAUUUCGGUUAUCGAUGGGGGAUGCGUUCCAUUAGGCAGUUGGUGGGGGUAACGGCCCACCAAACCUUCGAUGGAUAGGGGGUUCUGAGAGGAAGGUCCCCCACAUUGGAACUGAGACACGGUCCAAACUCCUACGGGAGGCAGCAUG
This 279-nucleotide ribosomal RNA is filed under the name uncultured bacterium. RNAcentral describes it as "partial 16S ribosomal RNA". It matches the Rfam family "Bacterial small subunit ribosomal RNA", at positions 77 to 353 of the family's 1533-position model. The record is from RNAcentral.